AGAUAGUCUCAUAUUGAUGAAACCAUUCCCUUAUUGGUGUCAUGUGCCAUGUAGCUCCUGAAUCCAUAAGCCAGACGUCAGAAAAUUUCUUUCUGCCUUCAACAACUGUUGUUGCCUCGCUGUAUAAAAUUUCACCAUCAUCUGAGGUACUUGAUACACAACCCUGAGCUUUUGAUGUCUCAGGACCUUUUCCUUUAGCUUCUUCAUUCUUCUUGAGACUCCAACAAUCCCUUUUUAAGUGCCCUUUCUUGUCACAGUAAUGACACUUGGCAUUUUUCUUACUCCUGGAUUUUGAUCUACUCUGAUUAUGACUCCCACUGGAGCCACGUUCCGUUGAUCUCCCUCUCAUCAUCGUUAAAGCUUCUGCCUGAUUCGAACUUGUCAAUCUAUCCUCCUUAUUCUUGCGCCU
Molecule: long non-coding RNA, 409 nt
Filed under: Olea europaea (common olive)
Lineage: Eukaryota; Viridiplantae; Streptophyta; Magnoliopsida; Lamiales; Oleaceae
Description: long non-coding RNA (OEUR_LNC003775)
Source: RNAcentral